CCCGGAGUCCGCCUGGGGCCGUGCCUGGGCGCUGCGCGUUGGUCCGCCGGAGUCUUGCGGUGGCUUGGGAGAGUGAGUCUAGCGCUCAGCCCUCGAGGUUGCCAAGUGCCUUGCGUUUCCACAUUUUCCCGCCGGGGCGCAUGUAGCCUGGCUUUUCUCUGAGGUGAGGCCUACAAAUGCGUGGGGCUGCCGCCGACACCAGAAGGAAAGACCGGCAUUUCUUCCUCAGGAGAAGAAAGCAGGUCUUAUCUGCAUGGUUGAAAUGAUACCAUCCCCAUGUCUUCAUUCAAGUUCUUAGGAAGAGGAAUAGAGCGCAAGGAAUUUCCUGUAAAGGAACUUAACUGGUUCAUUGUAUUCAGUGACCACAUUGCUUACCAGUGCUGAAACAUCCUCUUCCGUCUGCCUCCCCCAACAACCCUGGGUCUGUUUUUUCAAUUUAAAGCAACUGUUCAUGGAAUGCCUGCCAUGAAG
Long non-coding RNA from Fukomys damarensis (Damara mole-rat), 471 nucleotides. RefSeq lists it as uncharacterized. The record is from RefSeq and is a predicted model, not a curated record. The transcript has 3 exons. Lineage: Eukaryota; Metazoa; Chordata; Mammalia; Rodentia; Bathyergidae.